UGGGAGAGACGUACAUAGUAGCAGAAAGCAGCAGAAGUAGCAGAAAGCUGUGACAAAAGUAUCACAGGGUGCUGAUCAGAGUCCUCUAAAUCAGUGGAGAAACCAGCUGGAAACCCUUCCAUGUUACCAGAGGAGUUCAGAAGCAUUGCAAGAAAGCAGUCAUCAAAGUCUAAUACAACAAAGAUUUGUGAUGGAGAGAGCCAUCUGCAUCCAGAAAGAGGACUUUGGGGAUGGAAUGUGGAUCACAACAUGGUUUUAUGCCUGAGAGGAAGUCAAAUACAAAAUUGAUUUCCAUCUCCAAGAUCAAACUCCAGUUGAUGAGCGGGAAUAAAAUGGCCUUUCAAUAAACAGACUAACUUAGGUGGGCCAUAAUGAUUAUCCUUUCCUUGUUGUUUAACUAUAGGCCUGAGAUGAAAAGAAAGAGACAACAGCUAAAAAGCAUGUGUGCUGUGUUCCAAACUUGUUUGCAAAUUGAUUUGUGUAUCUUAAGUUGAAGACUGGCAUAGCCAUAUAAAGUAUUAAUUUUCAA
Molecule: long non-coding RNA, 529 nt
Organism: Antechinus flavipes (yellow-footed antechinus)
Lineage: Eukaryota; Metazoa; Chordata; Mammalia; Dasyuromorphia; Dasyuridae
Exons: 3
Source: RefSeq, a predicted model, not a curated record